RNAcentral lists this long non-coding RNA (338 nucleotides) under Rattus norvegicus (Norway rat). RNAcentral describes it as "long non-coding RNA NONRATT027927". The record is from RNAcentral. Lineage: Eukaryota; Metazoa; Chordata; Mammalia; Rodentia; Muridae.
AAACACAGAAAAACUAACUGGCUUACUGAGCACACAAGGCCGGACACAGCAGCGAUCCAGAGGGAAGGUGAUGAAACCCCACUUUUCUCACAGCAACCUUGCAGAUAUCGACACUUGGAGAGGAAGGAAGGCAAGCCAAGGGAUCUAAAGAGGCUGUCCCUGCUUUGGGUCAUCUGAAAGCAGCCGUCUUACAUGACAAUAAACAGAACUAGACUGGUGGAGUGGUGAACCAAGGGUUCAGCUACAUAUACACACCAUCAACUCAAAACAUCCUUUAAUUUAGUUAACAGAGCUGUAUUGUUGACAGAGAUUCCCAUCAAUAAAAAGAUAUGAUUACA